UACGUAGGGGGCAAGCGUUGUCCGGAAUUAUUGGGCGUAAAGAGCGUGUAGGCGGCCCGGUAAGUCCGCCGUGAAAGUCCAGGGCUCAACCCUGGAAUGCCGGUGGAAACUGCCGGGCUGGAGUCCGGAAGAGGCGAGUGGAAUUCCUGGUGUAGCGGUGAAAUGCGCAGAUAUCAGGAGGAACACCAAUGGCGAAGGCAGCUCGCUGGGACGGUACUGACGCUGAGACGCGAAAGCGUGGGGAGCAAACAGG
Molecule: ribosomal RNA, 253 nt
Filed under: uncultured bacterium
Lineage: Bacteria
Description: partial 16S ribosomal RNA
Rfam family: Bacterial small subunit ribosomal RNA
Source: RNAcentral